Molecule: long non-coding RNA, 254 nt
Filed under: Lathyrus oleraceus (garden pea)
Lineage: Eukaryota; Viridiplantae; Streptophyta; Magnoliopsida; Fabales; Fabaceae
Description: Pisum sativum (pea) long non-coding RNA (PSAT_LNC008483)
Source: RNAcentral
AUCAUUUUUAGAAACUAGAAAUUAAAAGAGAAAUAAUGCAAUUGGUCCCAUAUUUUUUGGACCAAUAAUAAAAGAGAUAUGAAUUUUUGAAAAUGAGAUGGAAUUAAAAAAUAUAUUAAAAAUCAUUUUUAGAAACUAGAAAUUAAAAGAGAAAUAAUGCAAUUGGUCCCAUAUUUUUUGGACCAAUAAUAAAAGAGAUAUGAAUUUUUGAAAAUGAGAUGGAAUUAAAAAAUAAAAAUGGAAAAAUCAGAAAA